GGGUCAGUAGGUUGGUCGUGCCACCGGUACGUACUGGUCUCACUGAUUCCUCCUUCCUGAAGAACCGUAAUGCCACUAAUUUGGUGUUGCGGGGAAACAGGACUAUUACUUUGAAAAAAUUAGAGUGUUUAAAGCAAGCUAACGCUUGAAUACAUUAGCAUGGAAUAAUGAAAUAGGACGAUCGAUCCUAUUUUGUUGGUUUCUAGGAUUGACGUA
This 216-nucleotide ribosomal RNA is filed under the name Glomeromycotina sp. RNAcentral describes it as "partial small subunit ribosomal RNA". The stretch from base 40 to 216 matches the Rfam family "Eukaryotic small subunit ribosomal RNA", at positions 686 to 864 of the family's 1831-position model. Lineage: Eukaryota; Fungi; Glomeromycota. The record is from RNAcentral.